GAUGAACGCUGGCGGCGUGCCUAAUACAUGCAAGUCGAGCGAACAGAUAAGGAGCUUGCUCCUUUGACGUUAGCGGCGGACGGGUGAGUAACACGUGGGUAACCUACCUAUAAGACUGGGAUAACUUCGGGAAACCGGAGCUAAUACCGGAUAACAUUUGGAACCGCAUGGUUCUAAAGUGAAAGAUGGUUUUGCUAUCACUUAUAGAUGGACCCGCGCCGUAUUAGCUAGUUGGUAAGGUAACGGCUUACCAAGGCGACGAUACGUAGCCGACCUGAGAGGGUGAUCGGCCACACUGGAACUGAGACACGGUCCGGACUCCUACGGGAGGCAGCAGUAGGGAAUCUUCCGCAAUGGGCGAAAGCCUGACGGAGCAACGCCGCGUGAGUGAUGAAGGGUUUCGGCUCGUAAAACUCUGUUAUUAGGGAAGAACAAAUGUGUAAGUAACUGUGCACGUCUUGACGGUACCUAAUCAGAAAGCCACGGCUAACUACGUG
Molecule: ribosomal RNA, 497 nt
Filed under: uncultured bacterium
Lineage: Bacteria
Description: partial 16S ribosomal RNA
Rfam family: Bacterial small subunit ribosomal RNA
Source: RNAcentral